UGCAAGUCGAACGGUAGCAGGAAAGUGCUUGCACUUUGCUGACGAGUGGCGGACGGGUGAGUAAUGCUUGGGAACUUGCCUUUGCGAGGGGGAUAACAGUUGGAAACGACUGCUAAUACCGCAUAAUGUCUACGGACCAAACGGGGCUUAGGCUUCGGCGCAGAGAGAGGCCCAAGUGAGAUUAGCUAGUUGGUGGGGUAAAGGCUCACCAAGGCGACGAUCUCUAGCUGUUCUGAGAGGAAGAUCAGCCACACUGGGACUGAGACACGGCCCAGACUCCUACGGGAGGCAGCAGUGGGGAAUAUUGCACAAUGGGGGGAACCCUGAUGCAGCCAUGCCGCGUGUGUGAAGAAGGCCUUCGGGUUGUAAAGCACUUUCAGUUGUGAGGAAAAGUGAGUAGUUAAUACCUGCUCACCGUGACGUUAACAACAGAAGAAGCACCGGCUAACUCCGUGCCAGCAGCCGCGGUAAUACGGAGGGUGCGAGCGUUAAUCGGAAUUACUGGGCGUAAAGCGCACGCAGGCGGUUUGUUAAGCUAGAUGUGAAAGCCCCGAGCUCAACUUGGGAUGGUCAUUUAGAACUGGCAGACUAGAGUCUUGGAGAGGGGAGUGGAAUUCCAGGUGUAGCGGUGAAAUGCGUAGAUAUCUGGAGGAACAUCAGUGGCGAAGGCGACUCCCUGGCCAAAGACUGACGCUCAUGUGCGAAAGUGUGGGUAGCGAACAGGAUUAGAUACCCUGGUAGUCCACACCGUAAACGCUGUCUACUAGCUGUUUGUGGCUUUAAGCCGUGAGUAGCGAAGCUAACGCGAUAAGUAGACCGCCUGGGGAGUACGGCCGCAAGGUUAAAACUCAAAUGA
Molecule: ribosomal RNA, 856 nt
Filed under: Alteromonas sp.
Lineage: Bacteria; Pseudomonadati; Pseudomonadota; Gammaproteobacteria; Alteromonadales; Alteromonadaceae
Description: bacterial SSU rRNA
Rfam family: Bacterial small subunit ribosomal RNA
Source: RNAcentral